GUACCCAACAAGGAAGUGACGGCUAACUACGUGCCAGCAGCCGCGGUAAAACGUAGGUCACAAGCGUUGUCCGGAAUUACUGGGUGUAAAGGGAGCGCAGGCGGGAAGACAAGUUGGAAGUGAAAUCUAUGGGCUCAACCCAUAAACUGCUUUCAAAACUGUUUUUCUUGAGUAGUGCAGAGGUAGGCGGAAUUCCCGGUGUAGCGGUGGAAUGCGUAGAUAUCGGGAGGAACACCAGUGGCGAAGGCGGCCUACUGGGCACCAACUGACGCUGAGGCUCGAAAGUGUGGGUAGCAAACAGGAUUAGAUACCCUGGUAGUCCACACCGUAAACGAUGAUUACUAGGUGUUGGAGGAUUGACCCCUUCAGUGCCGCAGUUAACACAAUAAGUCAUCCACCUGGGGA
This 405-nucleotide ribosomal RNA is filed under the name uncultured bacterium. Its description in RNAcentral is "bacterial SSU rRNA". It matches the Rfam family "Bacterial small subunit ribosomal RNA", at positions 475 to 879 of the family's 1533-position model. The record is from RNAcentral.